Marmota flaviventris (yellow-bellied marmot) is the source of this 565-nucleotide long non-coding RNA. RefSeq lists it as uncharacterized. The record is from RefSeq and is a predicted model, not a curated record. Lineage: Eukaryota; Metazoa; Chordata; Mammalia; Rodentia; Sciuridae.
CUCCUCCCCAAGAACAUGGAAUUGGUCCAUGAUCACCAAAUGCAGCCCAGCUCUUGCUAGCUGCUGGGUUCUUAUCUCGGCCAGUCCAGACUUUAGCCCAACCCAGGAAGGAAUCAAACCAGAGAAGAGAGGAGUACUAGUUAGAGGUGGCCCAUCUGAUCAGGACAGAUGUAAAUGCUGCAGCAAACUGGAAGGCGUUGGUGGUUCCACUCUUUGCCAACCGGAUCCUUGCCAAGCGCACCUUCUACAAAAAGAAAAGGAAACAAAGGGCCAGGUGAUAAAAGGAAUCAUUGUUUCCCACUUUAUAGAGGGAGAAACUGAGGCUCUGAGAAAAUGUCAACAGAAAGACAGCUAAGACAAUCAUUGACCCCAAGUCUCCUGACCUGGAAAAUCAAGGAUGGUCAAAGCUUGGAUGUGAAGAUUAAAUCCAACUCCCCCAGUUUUACAGAUGGGCAAACUAAAGCUCAAAAAGAGAGAGAGUGGUAGAGCAUGUGCUUAGCAUGUGUGAGGGCCCUGGGUUGGAUCUCUAACACCACAAAGAAAAUAAAGAGAUCAUUCAUCUAAC